GUCGGCUGAGGAAGAGAACUUGUCUGUGGUCGGUGGUGGAGAGAUGAAGAAGACCGUGGCUGAGGGGAGAAAGGGAAACGAAAUGGCCGGGGAUGAAGGUGCCAAAAAUGGCAGAGGGGCCGCCGGCUGACUUUUGUUGCCUGGGAGCUGGGUUUCUCUGGAGAUGGUUUUGGGAAUGAAACCAGAGGACGAUGAGGGCGGCCGGUUCUGAAUUUUUUUGGAGGAGAAGGCUGCGAAGUCUUGGAAAAAUGGGGAAACUUUUCUGUGAGUUGGAGGAUGGGAUCGAUGAGGAUGGAG
Molecule: long non-coding RNA, 297 nt
Filed under: Populus tremula
Lineage: Eukaryota; Viridiplantae; Streptophyta; Magnoliopsida; Malpighiales; Salicaceae
Description: long non-coding RNA (PTRE_LNC003071)
Source: RNAcentral